This 253-nucleotide ribosomal RNA is filed under the name uncultured bacterium. Its description in RNAcentral is "partial 16S ribosomal RNA". It matches the Rfam family "Bacterial small subunit ribosomal RNA", at positions 524 to 776 of the family's 1533-position model. The record is from RNAcentral.
UACGGGGGGGGCAAGCGUUGUUCGGAAUUACUGGGCGUAAAGGGUGCGUAGGUGGGUCUGUAAGUCAGUGGUGAAAUCUCCGGGCUUAACCCGGAAACUGCCAUUGAUACUAUAGGUCUUGAAUUUUCUGGAGGUCAGCGGAAUAUGUCAUGUAGCGGUGAAAUGCUUAGAUAUGACAUAGAACACCAAUUGCGAAGGCAGCUGGCUACAGGAACAUUGACACUGAGGCACGAAAGCGUGGGGAUCAAACAGG